Molecule: ribosomal RNA, 260 nt
Filed under: uncultured Pseudomonas sp.
Lineage: Bacteria; Pseudomonadati; Pseudomonadota; Gammaproteobacteria; Pseudomonadales; Pseudomonadaceae
Description: partial 16S ribosomal RNA
Rfam family: Bacterial small subunit ribosomal RNA
Source: RNAcentral
GGUUAAUGGUGGGCACUCUAAGGAGACUGCCGGUGACAAACCGGAGGAAGGUGGGGAUGACGUCAAGUCAUCAUGGCCCUUACGGCCUGGGCUACACACGUGCUACAAUGGUCGGUACAAAGGGUUGCCAAGCUGCGAGGUGGAGCUAAUCCCAUAAACCGAUCGUAGUCCGGAUCGCAGUCUGCAACUCGACUGCGUGAAGUCGGAAUCGCUAGUAAUCGUGAAUCAGAAUGUCACGGUGAAUACGUUCCCGGGCCCUU